Molecule: ribosomal RNA, 496 nt
Filed under: Cucullanus bourdini
Lineage: Eukaryota; Metazoa; Nematoda; Chromadorea; Rhabditida; Cucullanidae
Description: eukaryotic LSU rRNA
Rfam family: 5.8S ribosomal RNA (bases 1-111)
Source: RNAcentral
CGCAGCCAGCUGCGAUACGUAGUGCGAAUUGCAGACACAUUGAGCACUAAAAUUUCGAACGCACAUUGCGCCAUCGGGUUCAUUCCCGUUGGCACGUCUGGCUGAGGGUCGAAUUGCUAACUACAACGUACGUGCGGCUGGCACGUUCUGUCGGUGCGCUAGCCACUGCUGUGGCUACCGUACUCAGGGAAAAUUGUGCAAUGGUGGUACACUCCGGUGUGCGGUCGUGCGUUUGGGCCUACAUGUGUGUGCGUGUGCGCGCGUACUUGUACGCAAACGCAUCAUAUAUAGGCGCGACUUCCACCAGCAAUGCGAGCAGUAUGCGACGACGUACGUUCGUCGACCUGCGAGGUGCACCCGAGAGCUACUGGGGAGCACGUGUAGCGGCGUCGAUGUGCGCUUGAAUGAACGUACGUACGAGGCGAUGCUCUCGGUCCGUAUGCGCUUUUGACCUCAGCUCAGUCGUGAGUACCCGCUGAAUUUAAGCAUAUAACUA